UCUCAGCACCGUUGCCGCCGAAGUUUUAUCACAGAUUGUGAUAAUUUUGUAGUGGGGUGUCGGAGAACCGACUAAUUACGAUAAUAACAAUGGGGGGGGGAAGAAAGGGUUAAAGAAAUGAGAUCGAAAAUUCAGAAAGUGCAGUGUUGCAACACGUAGUCAAUUGAGGAAUAGAUAAAGAGAAAAAGGUAAACAAUGCAUGUGCUUUGCGUGGGAAAUAAGUGGAAAGACACUAAAUAAAAUAGAGACAAGCACUUGCAGAAAUAACAAUACAGGUAAGUAGCAGACUGGAGUGGAGACGACGGAAAACAGGUAAUAAAAGAGAUACUACACUGGAACAAAGACGAGACAAAACAGCUACAGGGAAGACAAGAAGCAUCGGCCGGCAUAGCAAAACACAAUGCUUGUAAAGACAUUGCGUUGCAUACCGGCCGACCCCGUCGUCCCCCCUGGUCGUCGAAAUUGGCGCCAUCCGAGGUCGUCAGAGGUAGCUGCAAUUAGCACCUCGUCGUCGUUGUGGCUGUGGCUGCCCGCUUGGAGAACCAGUGGCACUGGUCCGGCCACCAGCUGGGAGCCAGGAAAAGACGGCACGCAUAUUACUGUGGCGACACGGGUCCGGCCGCCAAAGUGAAAUGGAUGACCAUAGGGCACUCUGAAUGCCAUGGCACUGGAUCCGGCCACCAGCUAAGGACGAUGGCGGACACGACACACAUCUACACGAACGGCACAGGUCCGGCCGCCCAAGUGUAAUGGAUGUUUGUUGGCAGAGAUGUGUCCAAUCAGUACACAGCGUUCCAGGAUAUCUGGUUGUCAAGAUGGUACCUCAUGUUGCGGGCGUAGGCCUUAAUGUCAUCCAUGGAGUCGUCAUCUGUCCACAUCUCAUCGUCAUCAUUUUCUUCGUCCG
RNAcentral lists this unclassified non-coding RNA (904 nucleotides) under Drosophila pseudoobscura pseudoobscura. Its description in RNAcentral is "GA31939". Lineage: Eukaryota; Metazoa; Arthropoda; Insecta; Diptera; Drosophilidae. The record is from RNAcentral.